This 179-nucleotide non-coding RNA is filed under the name Struthio camelus australis. RNAcentral describes it as "Eukaryotic large subunit ribosomal RNA". It matches the Rfam family "Eukaryotic large subunit ribosomal RNA", at positions 106 to 358 of the family's 3401-position model. The record is from Rfam by way of RNAcentral. Lineage: Eukaryota; Metazoa; Chordata; Aves; Struthioniformes; Struthionidae.
UAUCCACCUGCAAAAGACAUACUGGUUUUGUGAUUCGGUUGACGGUAGCGGCCCCCCGGCGCGCCAGGACCGGGGCUUCUCGGAGUCGGGUUGCUUGGGAGUGCAGCCCAAAGCGGGUAGUAAACUCCGUCUAAGGCUAAAUACCGGCACGAGACCGAUAGUCAACAAGUACCGUAAGG